AGAGUUUGAUCCUGGCUCAGAACGAACGCUGGCGGCAGGCUUAACACAUGCAAGUCGAGCGCUUCGCAAGAGGAGCGGCAGACGGGUGAGUAACGCGUGGGAACAUACCCUUUACUACGGAACAACUCCGGGAAACUGGAGCUAAUACCGUAUGUGCCCUUCGGGGGAAAGAUUUAUCGGUAAAGGAUUGGCCCGCGUUGGAUUAGCUAGUUGGUGGGGUAAUGGCCUACCAAGGCGACGAUCCAUAGUUGGUCUGAGAGGAUGAUCAGCCACAUUGGGACUGAGACACGGCCCAAACUCCUACGGGAGGCAGCAGUGGGGAAUAUUGGACAAUGGGCGCAAGCCUGAUCCAGCCAUGCCGCGUGAGUGAUGAAGGCCUUAGGGUUGUAAAGCUCUUUCACCGAUGAAGAUAAUGACGGUAGUCGGAGAAGAAGCCCCGGCUAACUUCGUGCCAGCAGCCGCGGUAAU
RNAcentral lists this ribosomal RNA (468 nucleotides) under uncultured bacterium. Its description in RNAcentral is "bacterial SSU rRNA". It matches the Rfam family "Bacterial small subunit ribosomal RNA", at positions 8 to 524 of the family's 1533-position model. The record is from RNAcentral.